GGAGCCGUGCCUGAACGCCCAAGGACCACUUUGAUGAAGUGACCAACAGGGGUUAAAAUCCCCUCAGCUCCU
This 72-nucleotide transfer RNA is filed under the name Exostoma tenuicaudatum. RNAcentral describes it as "tRNA-Ile". It matches the Rfam family "tRNA". Rfam says of the family: Transfer RNA (tRNA) molecules are approximately 80 nucleotides in length. Their secondary structure includes four short double-helical elements and three loops (D, anti-codon, and T loops). The record is from RNAcentral. Lineage: Eukaryota; Metazoa; Chordata; Actinopteri; Siluriformes; Sisoridae. RNAcentral also lists the same sequence under 1 other name.